GUUUCUGCCUGCAGCUAGACCAGGAAGAAAGGAGACUGAGCAGAGGAAAUGAAAGAGUAAAGGAGAGGAGAGAGUGGGUAGGACACAAAGCUGAGGUGACUGAAGCAGCAGGAAGUAGGCAGGGCAUGAAGAAUUGGGAUUCAAAGCCCUUGAAUUUAGUUCCCAACUUCACUUAUGGGGCAAUGCUCCAAGUCACUCAGUCACCCUGAACUUCAGCUGGAGAAGGGGAACAGGAAUAAUGCCUAUCUUCCAGGAGUGUUCUGCACAAAACUGAAGGCACAGAUGAAAAAGCACUCUGCAAAUUAAAAGAGAAGGAUGGAUAGAGAAAAGCAUCAUUACAAAAGUGAAAUGUGUGAAUUUUAUUCUGGCUUUGAACAUUGAGUAGACGAAGAAGACAAUUCCAGACGGAGGAAACUCCACAAGAAAUAUCAUGGAAAUUUGAAAGAACACAGUGGGCUUGGGAAGAGGUGCUUCCAAGACCAAGAUAACCAGGCAAUCAUAGUAGAUGCAUCAAUGCACCCUUGCCCAAGGGCCUAGACAAGAGGAGGAAGGAAAGGAGGAGCACGUGCACAAAGCUAAGGAGGUGAUUAACAACAUGAUACAGUAUUGUUUAGCUUCGCAUGAAUUUUAUCACCUUGCCUAGAACCAGCCACCAUCUGCCAGGGCUCCUGACUUUUUCUGAAAUGAAUAGACACUAAAGCCUGCUGGGGAAUUUCAUGGAAAUCAAGAUGACUCAACCCAGAGUCCAUUUCAAGGCUAGGAUGCUAGAGGACGCCAACAAAGGAGUAGGGAAGUGAAACGGAUCAGCUCACAUCCAAGCCCUUGCAUGAUCAAUCCUGCAGUAGGAGUGCUGCUCAGUUGGGACUCAUGAGAGCCCGGAAGAGGAAAAAGCAGCUCUAAGCAUAGCAAAGAAGCUGUUAUGGAAAAGACCCAAAUGUUAAAAUGGUGGACAUAGUAAAGUGAUUGGUUCUGCUUAGGGGAAUCUAGAUCCCCACAUUUUGACCUCCACUGGAGUCUCAGAAGAACAAGUGCCAGGGGGGCUUGCCACAGAGGCCAAGGCAGUGAAUGUCAGGCACAUCACAGUCCCCAAGAUGGGGAGAAGACUGAGAUGCAGGGUAACAACUGCAAUCCAUUCAUGGGAGCCAUGUUUAUCUUAAAUCAUUGACAGUGAGAUAAGGAUCAUGUCAGCCUUCAUACCUUUGAUGAUGAUCCCAGGCUGCAACAGUGACACAUAGAACUGGAUUCAGUAACUAACUACAGAUUCCAUCAACCAGGACUAGUAAAGUGAAAGGCAGAAAUUGGGAGGAGGGGUUUCUUUCUUGCUUAUAAAACUUUAUUUGGUUGUGUUGAGUAUGUGCAUGUAUGUAUGAAAUCCCAUAAAGCAGUCUUCUUAGGAACAAGCCAACAUGCCACAAUGUAGGAGAUCUUUGGAGCACUGGCCUAAAUGGCAGAGAGCUCAAGGGACUCUGCUUUGUACAAGGCAUGAUUUGUACCACCACCACUAUCCCUGUUUCAGAGCACUGUUGAAUUGUUCCAAACCUGGAUUUCUAUGUCAGCUCCCUGUCUAUAGUACUUGACUGAUAAAUGCUAGUUUCUGAAAUCUGCUUUGGUUCUAUAAUUUAUUAGACAGCUUUUUCUUCCCAUUUUAUUACUUGUUUUUACUGUCAUUGGUAUAUUAUCUCUUACAGUGAAAACAUUCAUAGGCUGAUUGAAGAGAAGAUCUGAAAUUAUUAGGCAGCAAGCAUACAAAACCCUUGCUUUAUAAAGAUAAUAUCUUAAAGGCCUAAUGUCUAUGGUUCAAAGCAGCCUGGAGAUGUUGGCUAAAUCUUCCAUCAUAGAGUCCUCAUGGGAUCUGGAAGCUCUGAUUUAUCUUCCUUCAGGCCCUAUAAGUUAGCUUUCCACAUCUGUAGGUUCCACAAUCAACCUUGGAUCAAAAACAUUUGAAA
RNAcentral lists this long non-coding RNA (1946 nucleotides) under Homo sapiens (human). RNAcentral's name for it is "HSALNT0172498". The record is from RNAcentral. Lineage: Eukaryota; Metazoa; Chordata; Mammalia; Primates; Hominidae.